AUUUGUAAUCUGGCGUCUUCGACGUCCGAGUUGUAAUCUCGAGAAGUGUUUUCCGUGAUAGACCGCAUACAUGUCUCUUGGAACAGAGCGUCAUAGUGGUGAGAACCCAGUACACGAUGCGGAUGCCUAUUACUUUGUGAUACACUUUCGAAGAGUCGAGUUGUUUGGGAAUGCAGCUCAAAUUGGGUGGUAAAUUCCAUCUAAAGCUAAAUAUUGGCGAGAGACCGAUAGCGAACAAGUACCGUGAGGGAAAGAUGAAAAGCACUUUGGAAAGAGAGUUAACAGUACGUGAAAUUGUUGGAAGGGAAACACAUGCAGUGAUACUUGCUAUUCGGGGCAACUCGAUUGGCAGGCCCGCAUCAGUUUUUCGGGGCGGAAAAUCGUAGAGAGAAGGUAGCAGUUUCGGCUGUGUUAUAGCUCUUUACUGGAUUCGCCCUGGGGGACUGAGGAACGCAGCGUGCUUUUAGCAUGAGCUUCGGCUUAUCCACGCUUAGGAUGCGGGUUUAUGGCUGUAUAUGACCCGUCUU
RNAcentral lists this ribosomal RNA (527 nucleotides) under uncultured Sporidiobolus. RNAcentral describes it as "eukaryotic LSU rRNA". It matches the Rfam family "Eukaryotic large subunit ribosomal RNA", at positions 113 to 655 of the family's 3401-position model. Lineage: Eukaryota; Fungi; Basidiomycota; Microbotryomycetes; Sporidiobolales. The record is from RNAcentral.